This 1439-nucleotide unclassified non-coding RNA is filed under the name uncultured Neocallimastigales. RNAcentral describes it as "partial contains small subunit ribosomal RNA, internal transcribed spacer 1, 5.8S ribosomal RNA, internal transcribed spacer 2, and large subunit ribosomal RNA". The stretch from base 659 to 1439 matches the Rfam family "Eukaryotic large subunit ribosomal RNA", at positions 1 to 630 of the family's 3401-position model. Lineage: Eukaryota; Fungi; Neocallimastigomycota; Neocallimastigomycetes; Neocallimastigales. The record is from RNAcentral.
UUUCCGUAGGUGAACCUGCGGAAGGAUCAUUAAAAAAUUGGACUCCAUUGGUGAGUUCAUUAAUAAUCCCUACCCUUUGUGAAUUUGUUUGUUUGAAUAAUUUUUUUUCCAAAAAAAAAUUAUUGAAUGUCUUUCCCUGUUUUGGUGGAGCUUGUAAAGUGAAACCAGGCAGGGGAAUGGCAAACAAUAAUUAUUUUUUGAAAAAAGACCUUUUUUAAAAUUAAACUUUUUGUAUUCAUUUGUCUAAAAUUAUUUUUAUAAUAUAAAAACAACUUUUGACAAUGGAUCUCUUGGUUCUCGCAACGAUGAAGAACGCAGCAGAAUGCGAUAAGUAGUGUGAAUUGCAGAAUACGUGAAUCAUCGAAUCUUCGAACGCAUAUUGCACUUUUUUAGUUUACUAAAAAAGUAUGUCUGUUUGAGUAUCAGUAAAAUAUUCUCAUAAAAAAUUUAUUUUUUAUGGUUAUGAGUGUUUUACAGCGAUAACAAGUUGUUUCACUUUAAAUUCUUUGUUAUCAAAAAAUCAUUAAAAGCUAAUUUUAAAGAUUUUUAAAAUUGGAUAAAAUUUUCCCGUAAAAAGGAAUAACCUAAACAAUUUUAAAAAAUUAAAAUUGGUUUGAUUUUUCUUGAUUUAAAAAGGAAAAAAAAGUAAAAAUUAACUUGAUCUCAAAUCAGAUAAGAGUACCCGCUGAACUUAAGCAUAUCAAUAAGCGGAGGAAAAGAAACUAACUAGGGUUCCCUCAGUAACGGCGAGUGAAGCGGGAAGAGCUCAAAUUUGAAAUCUUCAAGGUUUUACCUUGACGAAUUGUAGUUUAAAGAAGUGUUUUCUGUUGGAGUUUUGGUAAAAGUUCUUUGGAAAAGGACAUCAUAGAGGGUGAGAAUCCCGUAUUUGACCAUUAUCUCCAGCUUUGUGAUACACUUUCAAAGAGUCGGAUUGUUUGGGAAUGCAGUCCAAAAUGGGUGGUAAAUUUCAUCUAAAGCUAAAUACUGGCGAGAGACCGAUAGCGAACAAGUACCGUGAGGGAAAGAUGAAAAGAACUUUGAAAAGAGAGUUAAACAGUACGUGAAAUUGUCAAAAGGGAAGCGUUUGACACCAGUGUUGUUUUCUCGAAAAUCAAUUAAAAAAGGCCGGAUUUUGUGUUGUAAUUGACUUUAUCAGCUUUCUGCACUUUUUUCUUGUCUUUUUUAAUGCACUUUUCGUUUAACAAGUCAACAUCAAUUUCUUUUGUUGUAAAAGGGUCGUUGGAAGGUGGCUUUCUUUUCGGAGAAAGCGUUUAUAGCCUUUGGCCUCUGCAAUCGGAGAGAUUGAGGUCUGCAGCGUAGAUCCUUCGGGGUUAGAUACAUUUGUGCUAAGUUAUAGCCUUUCAUGGACAACUUGUUGACUAUGAUCAGUCAUGUAGCUUACUCGCUUAUGCUAUUUUACCUACGCUUAGGAUGUUGAA